Molecule: ribosomal RNA, 510 nt
Filed under: uncultured bacterium
Lineage: Bacteria
Description: partial 16S ribosomal RNA
Rfam family: Bacterial small subunit ribosomal RNA
Source: RNAcentral
GACGAACGCUGGCGGCGUGCUUAACACAUGCAAGUCGAACGAAGAGCUACGGGAGCUUUCUUCUAUCAAUCUUAGUGGCGGACGGGUGAGUAACGCUUAAUCAACCUGCCCUUCAGAGGGGGACAACAGUUGGGAACGACUUCUAAUACCGCAUACGAGCUAGUCUCGGCAUCGAGUAUGGAUGAAAGGGGGCCUCUACAUGUAAGCUAUCACGGAUGGAUGGGAGUGCGGCUGAUUCGCUAGUUGGAGGGGUAACGGCCGACACAGGCGAUGAUCAGUAGCAGGUCUGACAGGACUAACGGCCACAUUGGGCAUGAGACACGGCCCAGACUCCUAAGGGAGGCAGCAGUGGCGACUCUUACGAAAUGGACGAAAGUCUGAAGGAGCAACGCCGCCAGAGUGAUGACGGCCUUCGGGUUGUAAAGCUUUGUUACUCCGGACGAAAGGCAUAAUUGCGCCUAGUGAGAAGGCUUGACGGUACCGGAAUAGAAAGCCACGGCUAACUACGUG